AAUGAACGCUGGCGGCAUGCCUAACACAUGCAAGUCGAACGAAGCCUUCGGGCUUAGUGGCGCACGGGUGCGUAACGCGUGGGAAUCUACCCUUGGGUUCGGAAUAACAGUUAGAAAUGACUGCUAAUACCGGAUGAUGACGUAAGUCCAAAGAUUUAUCGCCCAGGGAUGAGCCCGCGUAGGAUUAGCUAGUUGGUGAGGUAAAAGCUCACCAAGGCGACGAUCCUUAGCUGGUCUGAGAGGAUGAUCAGCCACACUGGGACUGAGACACGGCCCAGACUCCUACGGGAGGCAGCAGUGGGGAAUAUUGGACAAUGGGCGAAAGCCUGAUCCAGCAAUGCCGCGUGAGUGAUGAAGGCCUUAGGGUUGUAAAGCUCUUUUACCCGGGGAUGAUAAUGACAGUACCGGGAGAAUAAGCUCCGGCUAACUCCGUGCCAGCCG
This 441-nucleotide ribosomal RNA is filed under the name uncultured bacterium. RNAcentral's name for it is "bacterial SSU rRNA". It matches the Rfam family "Bacterial small subunit ribosomal RNA", at positions 29 to 514 of the family's 1533-position model. The record is from RNAcentral.